ACUCAGUUUGCAUUAGCCUUUUUGAUGCUUGGAUUUCGGAACGGUAAUCUGAACCUACGUACUUUCUCCCUCUGUUUUGUCUUAAUCCCUUUUGGGAUAUCUUUUUGAAUUUUAACUGCCUUUGCUGACUUACUUUGCUUUUUACUGCAGUGAAAUUUGGAGAAAGCAUGAGUAACAUUCGGUUCACAGACUUAAUGGUUUUGAGCAUCCGGUUAUGGAUUGAUGAUGUUGUAUCUUGUUUAUCGUUUUACAGGUUUUGAGGGUGGAUUCAUGUUGCAGCAAAAUAAUGGAUUGGUAUGAAAUUCUCUACAGGCCAUUUGCUUAUAUCUGCUGCAGCCAAAUUGAUUCAGUUGUAUCGGUUUAUUGGCUUGACAGGUUGUUAUUGGACAUGGUUGCUGGUGAUGCUGCAGAAGGCCUAACCUUUGUUCGUGCUGCAUCUUGCAAUGGUUUCAACUGGAAGUGAUUUAGCAGAGAGAAGAUAUCCGUGAGUCUCUAAGAUAGAGGUUAUUUCAGGAAGACGUCCGAGAAACAUAUUCAUCUUAUGCCUUUCUUCUGGAGUCAAUUGAUCCUGAUUGAUAGAAGAAGAGACUACCCUGGAAGUUUCUUUAGCUUGAGAUGAUAUAUCAGCAACCUUCUGAAGAGGAUUUAAAGGAGGCUGAGAAGUUCCGGCUUUCAUUCCGCCUAGUAACAAUUUCUUCUUUUUUCUGAGUUCUUAUUCUGGAUCCAUUUCUUCUGUACCACUACCUUCUUGGACAUUAGGUGCGUGGGCUGCCUGAGCUGUUCCAGAUGAUGUGAAUAUGUCCAUAGCAUUUUGUAUAACUGGCUGGACUGUUUCUGGUUCGAGUCUACUAGAUGUUUCAGUGUCAAGAGUGUCGUCAGCAAUCAGACUAGCGAGAGCAUCUAUUUUGGUGAAAUGUUUUGCAGGUUCAAAGAAAAUCACGACUUGUGCCCAAAUGUGCUUUAAGGCAUAGUUCAAUUGCAGGUUGGAGGCUUUGGCCAGGUGACAUGGUGGACCGGGAACAAAGAAAUUGGUUGUAGUUUCCAAGAGCACACUCUUAUGGUGUUGGUGCAGUUGGUAGCAUUUUAAACAUGUCUUGUUUUACUGCAGGAACAUGUGUCGAAGGGCUAUGUUUUAGCUUGCAACAAAAGACAGGUUUUGGUUUGCAACAGACUUGGAACUUCUCAUAUUUGGCAAGGCAGGUUUUAUGUGUACUUGCUGUAAGUUCUGGAUGAAAAUGAACUCUUUUGGAUGCUCACAACUAUCUCCUCCAUGAAAUAAGCACAACUUAUACUCAAAUUGCGUUCCGACCUUACAUGAUUUGGUGCUUCCAAAUGAUCUAAGCUCAAAAUUGCAUUCCUUGAAUUUUUGCUCAUUUCUUAACCUUGAUAGUUCUUUGUAGGAUCCUCGGUAAUCUCCUGCAAGCCGUUGUUGACUUGUGUUACAAAAGGAUCAGCAACCACUUUGGGGUUAGCUGCCAUUUCCAACAGUUUACGUGAUCGAGGUUUGAAUGAUCGACGAUGCUGAAUUAAUUGCUCCCUUCAAAGUGAUGGCUAGCGGAGAAUGAGUAGAAUCAAACUGCUGUUGAAUAGCAGUUGUGUGGUUCAAAAGUCCCUUUUGCCAGUAGUUUGAAAUUAUACUUGUAUCUGCCUAGCCACUGUAGCUUCAAGUUUUGAACUGACCGACUUUUCUAGUUGAUUCAAU
Lathyrus oleraceus (garden pea) is the source of this 1702-nucleotide long non-coding RNA. RefSeq lists it as uncharacterized. The transcript has 5 exons. Lineage: Eukaryota; Viridiplantae; Streptophyta; Magnoliopsida; Fabales; Fabaceae. The record is from RefSeq and is a predicted model, not a curated record.